GUCCUGGUGUGCCCCCCAAAAGAUCCUCCCAGUAGUGCAGCACCUGCUCCCAGGGAUGGAGUUUUGGGACCGAGGGCUGCUCCGUGUUUCGGGACACCCGGAGGGGACCGUGGCUCUUCCCCCUCGCCACUCACGGGAGAUAAAAGAGGGAAAACCUUGGGAAAACGCCAGCUCUGAGCUGCCCCGCGCUCCAGGAGCUCGCUGGGGAGGUCAAAGCCGUACUCUCUGCUACUGAAAAGCACAACAAAAUCCCUCCCUGCCUCCCAUCCCCGCGGCUGGAAAACCUGGAUUUCCCAGGGAUUCUGGGGAUGGUGAGGAGGGGACUCCCCCACCCUGACCUCAUCAGCUCCUGGCAAUUAACAGCCGCUAAUGAACGAGCGGGGUGAGGCAGCAGAGGCCGGAGCGUUCCCAGGGACAGCCUGGACACCUCUGGUGCCACCCAAGGAGCUUCUCCAGGUGCAGAGAGGCUUUUCCUGAGGAACCGGGGAACGCGUCACCUUGUCCCGAGCGCCUCUUUUGGUGGCUCCAGAGACGGAAACUCCCCCGAAAAGGCCCGAGGGGGGGGAGGAAGAGAGCGGGAGGAGGGUUGGAAGCCAAACUUUUCUUUGGGCCUUUGUCUGAGCCCACAAAGGCGGCUCUGUUGGAUGAACCUGGCCGAGCACCCACCUGCAGCCAGGUGAGCUGUGGGGGCAGCCGGGCUGCAGCUCCUGCUCAGCCUCCCCGGGCGAGUCCCCUGCUGGCCCUAAAAGUCAGAUUUUUCAGAGCAGCUGCGGGGCAGGGUGAGGCUGCACCCCGAGGUCGGAGUCACUCCCGAGCCUCUCCUGCUCCGGGUGAUGCCCCAGUUCACCUUCGCCUGUUUCUGUGGCCUCCACGGCUUCUGCAAGAUGAAGAGGAAGAAGGAACAGGCCAGCGGGGGGCAGGAGACGGCCGUGUGAGGAUCAGCCCCCGCCCGGGACCCCUCCUGUCCCCUCGAUUCUCCAUUUAUCCUGCAAAUUCUCUCCCGCAUCCCGCGGAUUCUCUCCUCAUUUCCCGUCCCUCCCUGUCCCCAGGACGGCCGGGGAAGAGCCGAAGUGUCCCUGCCCACGAUGUCCCUGCCCGUCCCGCUGGGAGCGAGAAUUCCCUCCCUGCUCCAGCAAUUCCCAGCAGAGAAACCGGGAAAAUCUCCAAAAUCCUGGCCAAGCCUUGUCGUUGCCAGAAUCCAGAGCUGGGCAGCGCCUCUGGCACGGCAAGAAGCACCCGGACCUGAGCGCUGCUGGAGCAGAUAAAUCCCGCUGAUGGCAGUGGGAAUCAGGUGUCUAUCCAAGGAAAAUUCCAAGGAUUUUCCGUCCUCUGGAGCGGGAGGCGAGCGGUGAAGCCGAAGCUGGAGCCGUGUCCUGGCUGCUCCCGGAUUUCCUUUGGGAAGGGAUGCAGGAACGCAGCUCGUCCUCCCCAUCCCGGAUCCAGCUGGAAUUCCUGCAAAUCCCCCCCAAAAAAAAAUGCUGCGGAUUCCCAGGGUUCACGGGAAGAGCCUCCACCUCCUCAGGAAAGCAGAGCCGCGCUCCCCAAAGAGGAAUUUAUUCCCACCAGCAAUAAUCCCAUCCACCAAGGGAAGGAUCCACUGCCCUGCUCACAUUCCCACCGGGAAUUUGGGGUGGGAACUCUCCAGGCAGGGCAAUUCCUGCAUACAAGACUUAAAAAAUUAAAGCAAAAAAAACCAUUUUAAAUAUUUUUCCCCCCUCAGAAAUCACCUGGUGGAAGCUGUCCCUUCUCCCUGCCGAGGGGAGGAUUCUCUUCCAGGUAUUCCCAGUCUUCCCACAAGACAAAAUUAAUUCGUGGCUGUCCCAAAACUCGGCGUUUUCCAAAGGUUUUCCAGAGGAUGAAACAAUUCCAGAUCAGUUGAUUUGGGAAAAUGCUGAAUUUCCAUUUCAUUUCCCAUUUUUGCACCUCAGCCUCCUCGGUUCCACCUUUGGCGAGGAACUUUGGGAUCAGCUCUGGACCAAAAAAUCCAAGGAAAUUGGUGGAACUCCAAGGGAAUUUCCUGAAUUUCCCCAAUUCCACCUUUGGCAAGGAACAUUGGGAUCAGCUUUGAGCCAAAAAUAAAAAAUCCAAGGAAGUCGGGAAUUUCCUGGGA
RNAcentral lists this long non-coding RNA (2110 nucleotides) under Parus major (Great Tit). RNAcentral describes it as "lncRNA (ENSPMJG00000016962.1)". Lineage: Eukaryota; Metazoa; Chordata; Aves; Passeriformes; Paridae. The record is from RNAcentral.